GGUUCGAUUAUGGCUCAGAUUGAACGUGCUGGUGGGAUGCUUUACACAUGAUGUCGAUCACCCGGCAGCACGGACUUCUUAUCUGGUGGCGAGUGCGAACGGGCAGGGAAUGGGAUUGGAACGCCUAGUAGCGGGGGAUAACUACGCGAAGUAGCUAAUACUGGCCACACCUUCGGGGAAAGCGGGGACCUUCGGGCCUCGCACCGUUAGAGCGGCCGAUAUCGGAUUAGCUAGUUGGUGGGGUACCGCUCACCAAGGCGACAUCCGUGUGCUGGUUUGAGAGGACGACCAGCCACACUGGGACUGAGACACGGCCCAGACUCCUACGGGAGGCAGCAGUGGGGAAUUUUGGACAAUGGGGAACCCUGAUCCAGCCAUCCGGUGCGUGGGUGGCGAUGAAGGCUCGGGUUGUAAAGCACUUUCGGGCAGGAAAGAAACGGCACGGAUAAUACCCCGUAACUGACGGUACCUGCACAAGCACCGGCUGACCACGUGCCAGCAGCAGCGGUAAUACGUAGGCAAGCGUUAAUCGAAUUACUGGGCGUAAAGCGUGCAGGCGGUUCGGAAAGAAGAUGUGAAAUCCCAGAGCUUAACUUUGGAACUGCAUUUUUAACUACCGAGCUAGAGUGUGUCAGAGGGUAGGUGGAAUUCCGCGUGUAGCAGCAAAAUGCGUAGAUAUGCGAGGAACACCGAUGGCGAAGGCAGCCUCCUGGGAUAACACUGACGCUCAUGCACGAAAGCGGGGAGCAAACAGGAUUAGAUAAUUCUGGUAGUCCACGCCCUAAACGACGUCAACUAGCUGUUGGGGCCGGCCUGGUAGCGCAGCUAUCGUGAAGUUGACCGCCUGGGGAGUACGGUCGCAAGAUUAAAACUCAAAGGAAUUGACGGGGACCCGCACAAGCGGUGGAUGAUGUGAUUAAAUUGAUGCAACGCGAAAACCUACAUCAUACUCCUUGACAUGUCUGAAUCCCGAAGAGAUUUGGGAGUGCUCGCAAGAGAACCGAACACAGGUGCUGCAUGGCUGUCGUCAGCUCGUGUCGUGAGAUGUUGGGUUAAGUCCCGCAACGAGCGCAACCCUUGUCAUUAGUUACAUGAAAGGGCACUCGAAUAGAGACUGCCGGUGACAAACCGGAGGAAGGUGGGGAUGACGUCAGGUCCUCAUGGCCCUUAUGGGCAGGGCUUCACACGUCACACAAUGGUCGGGACAGAGGGUCGCCAACCCCGCGAGGGGGAGCCAAUCCCAGAAACCCGACGUAGUCCGGAUCGCAGCUCCUGCAACUCGACUGCGUGAAGUCGGAAUCACGUAGUAACGUGUGGAUCGCUAAUGUCGCGGUGAAUACGUUCCCGGGUCUUGUACACACCGCCCGUCACACCAUGGGAGUGGGUUUGACAGAAGUAAAGCUAGCCUAACCGUAAGGAGGGCGAUUACCACGGUAGGAUUCAUGACUGGGGUGAAGUCGUAACAAGGUAG
This 1471-nucleotide ribosomal RNA is filed under the name uncultured Bordetella sp. Its description in RNAcentral is "partial 16S-23S ribosomal RNA intergenic spacer". It matches the Rfam family "Bacterial small subunit ribosomal RNA". The record is from RNAcentral. Lineage: Bacteria; Pseudomonadati; Pseudomonadota; Betaproteobacteria; Burkholderiales; Alcaligenaceae.